AAUAUUGCGCAAUGGGCGAAAGCCUGACGCAGCAACGCCGCGUGGAGGAUGAAGGCUCUUGGGUUGUAAACUCCUUUCAGCAGGGAAGAAAUUGACGGUACCUGCAGAAGAAGCCCCGGCCAACUACGUGCCAGCAGCCGCGGUAAGACGUAGGGGGCAAGCGUUGUCCGGAUUUAUUGGGCGUAAAGAGCUCGUAGGCGGCUGAGCAAGUCAGAUGUGAAACCCUCGGGCUUAACCCGAGGCCGCCAUCUGAUACUGCUCUAGCUAGAGUUCGGUAGGGGACCAUGGAAUUCCUGGAGUAGCGGUGAAAUGCGCAGAUCUCAGGAGGAACACCAGCGGCGAAGGCGGUGGUCUAGGCCGAUACUGACGCUGAGGAGCGAAAGCGUGGGGAGCGA
Molecule: ribosomal RNA, 395 nt
Filed under: uncultured Acidimicrobiaceae bacterium
Lineage: Bacteria; Bacillati; Actinomycetota; Acidimicrobiia; Acidimicrobiales; Acidimicrobiaceae
Description: bacterial SSU rRNA
Rfam family: Bacterial small subunit ribosomal RNA
Source: RNAcentral